GAAGGGCCCGAGCGUUGCGCGGAAUCAUUGGGCUUAAAGCGUACGUAGGCGGACGAGCAGGCACCUUGUGAAAUCCCUCGGCUCAGCCGAGGAAUUGCCGGGUGAACCGUUCGUCUUGAGGCAAGUAGGGGCUGUCGGAACGAUAGGUGGAGCGGUGAAAUGCGUUGAUAUCUAUCGGAACGCCAAAGGUGAAGACAGGCAGCUGGGCUUGUUCUGACGCUGAGGUACGAAAGCGUGGGGAGCGAACGGGGGAUUAGAUACCCCGGUAGUCCACGCCGUAAACGAUGUGCACUAGAUCGAGGGGGUUCUGACGCCAUUCUCGGUCGAAGCAAAAGUGUUAAGUGCACCGCCUGGGGAGUACGGUCGCAAGGCUA
This 374-nucleotide ribosomal RNA is filed under the name uncultured organism. RNAcentral's name for it is "partial 16S ribosomal RNA". It matches the Rfam family "Bacterial small subunit ribosomal RNA", at positions 527 to 896 of the family's 1533-position model. The record is from RNAcentral.